CGGAUUACAUUUUAAACAUCCGGUUGUUCUAGUGUAUCAUGAGUACAUGAAAAUAUGUAUUAAUUUCUCCCUAUUAUUUAUUUUGUAACAGUGAUUGAUGAUGUAAUAGAUAAGAAGGAACCAGAAGUGAAAUGGUACCCUUCUGUGGUACACGAAGACAACCAUAAGCACCACAAUGAGCACCUACCCACCACUGCAAACUGUGAGGAGUCAAUUCUUGGUAUGUUAUUAAUGUAAAAAGAAUUUAAAAAAAACCAUCAACAGACAAUAAGAAAAAAGACGUGGUAUGGUUGCUUAUCAGACAA
This 305-nucleotide long non-coding RNA is filed under the name Mytilus galloprovincialis (Mediterranean mussel). Lineage: Eukaryota; Metazoa; Mollusca; Bivalvia; Mytilida; Mytilidae. The record is from RNAcentral.